This is a non-coding RNA of Paramuricea clavata, 373 nucleotides long. NCBI's taxonomy places the organism in Eukaryota, Metazoa, Cnidaria, Anthozoa, Malacalcyonacea, Plexauridae. The record is from the annotation of a GenBank genome assembly.
UUUUAUCAAGUUGCUACAAGGUUGUCACUCACAACUUGUUGACAAAUUGUUGAAUUGCAGGACGAUAACAAGUUGUUAGAACAACUUGUAACAAGACUAUUGAGCUCAACAACCUUGUAGCAAGUUGUCAACAAGCCGUUGACAACUUGUCAACAAGCUUGGAACAAGCAGUGCUAACAUAUCCUGUUGACAAGUUGUUGGAACAACAUUGCUACAAGUCUGCUGCAGGUUUGUUACAACUUGUGCGUUUUUACGUGUGUAGCCCGUCUCACAGACCUUAUAAUUAGUAAUGACGCAUUUCACGCAUUUUUUGAAUAAGUAUAAAAAUGUAUGUGUCGAGACUGGUGAUUCGUUAGUACAAACUUCAAAAAGG